Ictalurus punctatus (channel catfish) is the source of this 9006-nucleotide long non-coding RNA. The record is from Ensembl. NCBI's taxonomy places the organism in Eukaryota, Metazoa, Chordata, Actinopteri, Siluriformes, Ictaluridae.
CUCUCUCUCUCUCUCUCGCUCACUCGCUAGCUAGCUGUGUAUGAAAAAACAGCAGUAGCUCUCUCUUCUGUCCUGCAGUAUCCCACACUCUUGCACACCUCCUCACUCCACCCCAUCCCUCACUCUCCCUCUCCUUCAGCACACCUCCUUCACUUCCUUCGGUUCUACUGUUAGGGAGCUGGGGCCGGAUUGAAGUUCAGACGUUUUUAUGAUUUAAUGCCCGGUCUAGGUGGGGGUAAUGAAGAAGGCUCCAUGCUGUCUACUCCUUAUGAGUUGAAAUCAGGUGAGGAAAUAAAGAACUGUCAGAGUCUUUAAAAGGAUAUUACCUUUACAAUAGGGAAACAGUGAAGCCGUUGUGGUCAGACAAAUGUCAGCGUGAUAUCAGACUCAUUAUUGCUGUCCAUCAUUCAUACAAUGAUAAUCCGCUUCACAGCGCAUGUGUCAGAUGGAAAGAAUGCUAAUCUGGAAGAGGUGCAGAGCUUGGGCUUUUUGGCAGCCAGUUUCCACUGCACACUAGUUUCCAUGUGGUGCCGCUCCAGAGGCCUGGAGAAGCCUGUUUAGGGAACAAAGGACAGGGUCCAGAUUGCAUUUGUAAAAGGUCAGACUCUACUGGACAACUGACCCACAACCUAAAAUCAUACUCCUCUGUCAAGCUGGAGCAGUGGCAGUCUACAUCCAGCAAAUGUUACCAUAUCAAUUAAAAUCCAAAAGUGCAUGGAGUGAGGGUGGACCAUAUGAAUCAGUAAGUCACUCAUGCCAUAUGAUCUCCAUCACCAGACCUUCACCCUUGAGUUGAGGUUUAUAACCCAAACAGUUGUUUAUUUAAAUCAUAUGUUAGGCUCUAAACUGUGUAUUGAGGUUCUUACUGAUUUGAUAACCAGGGAGUCAGUGAGGUAAUAUGAGCUUUCUAUGAUAAACUAGCUAUUUAGGUUAGUAAUAAAAACGUGAGGGGAGCGUGCUGUUAUAGGAAAAUCAUCAAUAACGGGGUUGAGUGAUGCAGCCUGAGGCAAAGUGGAGGUCUGUUACUACCCCAAAGUUGAUGAUUUUCCUAGUACAGCAUACCCCAUUGUGCUGUUAGAGAAAAUUAAUCGAGACAUUCUGACCAAUCACAAUAAAGAAUACAACAGAAUUAUGAUAUAACUGCUAGUAACAAAGAGAGAAACAUUUUUGCACAUCAAUACAAACAGUAGUCUUCCUUGAAAUCUGUUUUCCAACCUGAUAUUCCAAACCUGAUCAGGAAUAUGCUGAUGUGAUGCAAUGAAACCUUGAGCGGAGUCACUUGCUUACUCUCAUUCAGACCAGUGUAUGUUCUCAAUGCUCUCCAGAGAGAAAUUAGUUCUGCACACUCAAGUAUAAGAAGUUAGACUGGAAAAGCAGAUUGCCAAAAACAGUUAAAUUUACCACAGAGUUUUGUCCUUGGGGAAGAAAUAAGCAUAUUUAUUUGCCACUUAAAAUAGUAUACCAGUAGAUGAUACUUCAUAUAGUGGAGUAGUAUUUUGUUUUUUUGAGCAGAUAUGCAGUUUGGGAUGCAGCAUAUGUUUUGCUUGGGAAGUAUAUUGAUUGCUGCUCUGAGCCAGUUUGAAUUAAUUUCUCAUAUAGCAUAUACUGUAUAAUCUCUGUGAAGCUUUUACCAUUGUUGAACUAAAUUUCAGUGAUGUUCCAAUUCAUUACAAUCUAAAAAAUCAAAUCCAAAUUUCACAAUGUAGGCCCCUUGGUUUUCUAAAUCUGCAUUAUCAAAUUUGUUUUAUGCCUUCUUGGUUUCAUAUGACACAGUCUUAAAUACAGCCCAGUCUGCCUGUACAUUUUAGGCCUUAGGGGAAAUGGGUUAGUGUUAUCAUCUUGCUGUUAACACAUUGUCCUGUGCAUGGCGUAUGUGUGUGCCUGUGUGUUAUCACCUGUAAUGACACACCUCACCAGUGACUUAACGCCAAACCUUAGUCUCGUUCUCGUUCUUCCUCGUUUCCCCUUCCUCCUUAAUUUUGAUUGCUGACAAAGUAGUCCGAGAGGCUUCUCGGUCACCCGAGUUCAAAGAGAACUAUGCUUUUUAUUUAACUUCUGUUUGUUAAUGGCCUUGUGGGACAUCUCAGAAUUGUAUAUGGUGAGAUGCUAUAGUGUCUGUUAUGGUUGACAUAGGCAUGGUGAACACUUAUUACACCCGGGUGUCUCAGGCAGUUGGGAACCACCAUCGUUGGACUUCCUGGCCUGCACAGUUAAACUCUGCGCUUCUGCACCAGGUCCAUUUAUGCUGUGAGAGUUUGUUAAGAGAAAUGUUUUGCUUAGCUCAUCAGAAUUGUCCUAAUUAAAAUUUUUUUAUUUUCCUGUUUCAUUUGGAUGGGCUUUAUGACCAUUAACACAACAUUUACAGUGCUCUGAAAUCAGUUUGCUACAUAAUGCAUUUAGUAGUGCCCACAUAAACAAAAAUAGUAGCCACUGACUGGUGGUUUUUGGAAAUUCAGUCCUAAAUGAUCAUUUGAGAUAACAAAAAACAGUGAACAGGGAAAAAAAAUCUACAAGGUAUACUUUUGGAGACCUACAGUACUGUGGAAAAAUCUUAGACACCCUAUUUUAUAUUUUUUUGUACAAACUUUGUUAUAGAUUUUUUAUUUUAUGACUUCUAUAUUAUCGAGUCAGUAAAAAAACAUUUUAGAUUAGAUAGUAAAUGUUACAGAAAAAUAUUUGUAAGUCAGUAUAUAAAGCAACAUAUUACAUAACAGAACACUUUUCAGACAAAAAAAAAACAUAAUGAAGGCUGCUGCAAAAAUAAGAAGCAAGUGUGACAGUCAAAGUCUCCAGAAGAACUGUGUCUGGUUCUGCAUGAUGCUCAUUUUUUUGAGUAUGAGUAUUUCCUUAAAAACUGCACAAAUGGUUCUUGAGACUUUUUUUUUAAAGGAAAGGGUCAUCACGCCAAAUGUUUACUUUUUUUCAUUUAGUACUGUUUGCUGAUCUUUAUAGUAUUUCUUUUAUGUAAAAACAUUUCAUUUCAUUAUUUUUGAAGGCAUCUUUGCUCUAAAUCUGAAAACUGUAUUAUAUUCACUCACCUUAUAUUCAUGUAUAGUUCAGUGCCAUACCUGGACUAAUGAAGAUAAUUAUUAAAUAGCUUAAAAAGCCUCACACUGAGAUAAACGCAGACAUGCUUAACAUGACGAUAUCACUCUCAAAUUUACUCAUGUCUAGUUUCAGACAAUUCUUUCUUACAAGUCAUACUGCAUAUAUUUCAUAUGUGGUAAUGUCAUUGCACUAUGACUCAUUUGUGUGUCUGACUCUCUCCUUCUCUCUUCGCACUCUCACUCUCCCUUUUUGUGUGUGUUUAUGUGAAUUUUAUCUGGAAAGCGUUAUGACUUGCCAAGAGAACACUCAUCCUUCUUUGAGACAGUCAACACAUGGUAUAAAAUUUUGGAAUUAAGAUGUUGAAUACCUUACAACAGAUCAGACUUCGGUUUCGAGAUGAUGAUGUCACUAUGGCCCCGGUGUCUAGAAAGAUUAGUCAUACUGUCUUUUAGACUCAGUGAUAUCAUCACUGUUUUGUGAAUCAUUCGCUGUAUCUGCACUUUCAGAUACUUGGCAAGUGUGAGAGAAGGAAUGCUUUAUUUUGAGGUGAUUAUUGGAACUGUGUGAUUGUUAUCGUGGAACUGCAGGACUAUACGAGUUCUGCGUGUUUAUAUACUUUGUAUGAUUUUACAAAACUGUGAGAUCUUGUGCACAAGUGUAUGCAUGCGUAAUCUGUUGGUUGACCUACACAUAGUUAGGCCCAGGCACACAGUGCUCCUGAUAGGUUUUCCUGUGAUUAGAAAAGCAGUUGCAGGCGUCCGCCAGCGGAAAGAGGUGGUGUUGACUCAGGGCCUCAUGGGGACAUUCUUGUUUUUGUAUGGUGUUCAGGGGCUGGGCAGCUGGAGUGACAGAAAUUCACUCAGCUUUUUUUUUUCACUGUCCACUGCUUUAUUUGGGCUGUGCAGGGCCAUCACUGCCAGAGCAAACCUCUCACUUAAGCGUGCAAGGCCUAACUCAAGGAUAAACACUCUUUUCUCCAAUCACAAUAUGUGCUGCCUGGUGCUGCUUAUUUUGAAUUGAGAUCACGUUCAAAUUUCACACCAUUUAACAUUUCAAAGCAUGAUCAAAUCAUUGAGUGCAUUUAUUUCCUUUUAUUUCUUCUUCUUUUUUUUCCUCAGCUUCAAAAUGUUCUCACUCAUCUCUGAACCCAAUGGGAUGAGAAAAAGUAAUUUGUCUGAACUUUUCAUUAACCACCUCCCUCUUAAGUAAAUUGAUUAGAUUUUUUUUUCAUCUUUGAUAUCAGUUAGACAUUUACAGUCCCCAAAAGUUUACACAAGUGAAUUGAGUAGGUUCCAUCUUUGACUGUGGGCCCACAUCCAACAUACAUAUUAUUCUAACAUCCGUGCUGCCAUGAGACAGUGCCUGCACUGUGUUCAGAGAUGCCAUCCAUGGCUCUCCCCAUUUAAGGUCUGUGGUAAGUCUGAGCAGUCUCACGCCAUAUGUGUAACUGGCAGCAAUUCUGGGACAAUGUCUUAUUUUUUAGUGAUCAUUUGUUGUAGUGUGAACAUCUUCAUAUGUAGGUUUUUCCCCCGGAAAGAUAGAAUAGAUGGAUGGAUGGCUGGAUGGAUUUUAUCUAUUCACAAGUGCACAAUGGAAGGCAAAACAGACACGUCCAUUCACAUACACAUUUAUUAAAAUGAUUACCUUUCAUGGAGUAAUGUUGCUUCCUGAUCCAACAAAAGAGAACACAUUACUAGCCUACAUUAGAAGAUCUGAUUUCCCACAAAAAGAGGAGCCUUUACUAUGUACAGUAUGUUUGUCGGUCCCUACAGAAUUUUUCGAUUUUAUGAUCACGGACAUUAACUUAAACCAAGCAAAUUCUGCAAUAUUUAGAGGAGCUUACAAUUUUUCAAAAUUACAGCAGAUUUGGGCCAAGACGCGUCAUGUGACACCACAACGCACAUUCAGCCAAAGCCCACUUCAAUUCACAUGCGUCGAGCACAAGUACAGCUAAAAGGUCUCAUUUACCAACAAAUAUCACUGCAAAAUAUUGUGCAAAACAGUUUUGUGCAAUUUUUCCAAUUGAAGUAGUUUUCAGAUUAAAAAAGCAUAAAAACUCAGAAGUUGCAUCAUAAAUUUUGAAAAAAGCAACAGCAAAAUCAAGCAUUUUUGGCCGCGACAUUCACAAAAAAAUCCACGAAAUCCUGUACGCACUGGUUUGUGUAGUCAACCCAGUCCAUGGAGUAUUGAUGUAGGGAGCUAUUAGCAAUUCAGUAAUUGUACUACUUUACUGUACUUAAAUACUAUUUUGGAAGAUUUGUACUCUCCUCAAGUAUUAUUGAACCUUGAACUCUUAAGUAAAUUUACAAGAAAAAAACAUUUUUACUCCUUAGAUUUUCAUUUUGACCUUCAAAAAACUUGUUAAAAUUCAUAAAUGCAUGAGAUAUUUUUCUUGUCCAGCUCGUUGGUUCUUGCCUAUUUAAAUUUUAUUAACACAUCCAAUUACAUUCAAAUCAGAGUCACAUGAAACUGUUCUAAUGGGCCUUUGAGCCAGUGCUGUCUUUUGCUGGAUGUAUCACUGAAAUAUACAGGAUGACAUGGUUCCUUUCCUCCCAUGUACAAACGAAAUAAAAAAAUUGCCAUCAAAUCUAAAGACAUAUGCUAAGGUACAGUGCAUCCGGAAAGUAUUCACAGCGCUCCACUUUUUCCAUAUUUUGUUAUGUUACAGCCUUAUUCCAAAAUGGAUUAAAUUCAUUAUUUUCCUCAAAAUUCUACAAACAAUACCCCAUAAUGACAAGAUGAAAGAAGUUUGUUUGAAAUCUUUGCAAAUUUAUAAAAAAAUAAAAAACAAAAAAAGCACAUGUACAUAAGUAUUCACAGCCUUUGCUCAAUACUUUGUUGAAGCCCCUUUGGCACCAAUUACAGCAUCAAGUCUUUUGAGUAUGAUGCUACAAGCUUGGCACACCUAUUUUUGGGCAGUUUCUCCCAUUCUUCUUUGCAGGACGUCUCAAGCUCUAUCAGGUUGGAUGGGGAGCGUCGGUGCACAGCCAUUUUCAGAUCUCUCCAGAGAUGUUCAAUCGGGUUCAAGUCUGGGCUCUGGCUGGGACACUCAAGGACAUUCACAGAGUUGUCCUGUAGCCACUGCUUUGUUAUCUUGGCUGUGUGCUUAGGGUCAUUGUCCUGUUGGAAGAUGAACCUUCACCCCAGUCUGAGGUCCAGAGCAUUCUGGAGCAGGUUUUCAUCAAGGAUGUCUCUGUACAUUGCUGCAUUCAUCUUUCCCUCGAUCCUGACUAGUCUCCCAGUUCCUGCCACUGAAAAACAUCCCCACAGCAUGAUGCUGCCACCACCAUGCUUCACUGUAGGGAUGGUAUUGUCCAGGUGAUGACUGGUGCCUGGUUUCCUCCAGACAUGACGUUUGCCUUUCAGGCCAGAGUUCAAUCUUUGUUUCAUCAGACCAGAGAAUUUUGUUUCUCAUGGUCUGAGAAACAAACCAGGCGGGCUGUCAUGUGCCUUUUACUGAGGAGUGGCUUCCGUCUGGCCACUCUACCAUACAGGCCUGAUUGGUGGAGUGCCGCAGAGAUGGUUGUUCUUCUGGAAGGUUCUUCUCUCUCCACAGAGACACGCUAGAGCUCUGUCAGCGUGACCAUCGGGUUCUUGGUCACCUCCCUGACCAAGGCCCUUCUCACCCGAUCGCUCAGUUUGGCCGGGCAGCCAGCUCUAGGAAGAGUCCUGCUGUUUCCAAACUUCUUCCGUUUACGGAUGAUGGAGGCCACUGUUCUCAUUGGGAUCUUCAGUGCUGCAGAAAUGUUUCUGUACCCUUCCCCAGAUCUGUGCCUCGAUACAAUCCUGACUCAGAGGUCUACAGACAAUUCCUUGGACUUCAUGGCUUGGUUUGUGCUCUGACAUGCAUUGUUAACUGUGGGACUUUAUAUAGAUAGGUGUGUGCCUUUCCAAAUCAUGUCCAAUCAACUGAAUUUACCACAGGUAGACUCCAAUCAAGUUGUAGAAACAUCUCAAGGAUGAUCAGUGGAAACAGGAUGCACCUGAGCUCAAUUUUGAGUGUCAUGGCAAAGGCUGUGAAUACUUAUGUACAUGUGCUUUUUUUGUUUUUUUAUUUUUAAUAAAUUUGCAAAGAUUUCAAACAAACUUCUUUCACGUUGUCAUUAUGGGGUAUUGUUUGUAGAAUUUUGAGGAAAUACAUGCAUGGUACGCUGAUUGGCAUGUCUAAAGUGUCCGUAGUGUAUGAAUGGGUGUGUGAAUGUGUAUGUGAUUGUGCCCUGGCACCCUGUCCAGGGUGUACCCCGCCUUGUGCCCGAGGCUCCCUGGGAUUGGCUCCAGGUUCCUCCGUGACCCUGAAGAAGGAGUAAGCGGUAGAAGAUAGAUGGAUGGAUGGAUGUAUAUACUGUGUAUAUAUAGUGUAUAUACCCCAUGAGCCUGCACCCACUAUAGCCUGUUAAUGGCUAACAGGAGUGGAACUCAGUGUGAUCUUCUGUUGUUGUGGCCUAUCUGUCUUAAGGUUUGGCGUAUAGACAUGCUCUUCUCCUUAUCAUGGUUGAAAAGAGUUGUUACUGUAGCCUUGCUGUUAGCUGUUAACUGAAACCAGUCUGGCCAUUCUCUUCUGACCUCUCUCCUCAACAAGUCAUUUCCACCUGCUCACUGGAUGUUUGCUGUUUUUUCACAUCAUUCUCUGUAAACUCUAUAGACUGUUGUGCAUGAAAAUCCCAAGAGAUCGGAAGUAACUGUGCCAUGGAUUGGGAGAUUACUUGCUUUCUCUGUAGUUGUAGGGUACAGAUGUUUUAUUGGACAGGCAGCCCCUUUGUAAGGCAUACAUAAAAGUUCAUGUUAGAAAAGGAAGAGAUGGGCCAUUCACCACAACAGAGAGGCCAGAGAGAGUGCCUUAGUUGACUCUGGGCUAAGAGACUGGAUCUAUGGAAGGUUUCUAUUGGGUCACAAGUUGAUGUUAGAGUUGCCUGAUGAGGGUGUCCAAUGUUGAAAGCAGUUAAACACCUGAGGGCCCCAGGUUACAUAACUAAUGAUGUGUCAUAGUGUAAAAUCCAGUUUUAACACAGUUUUGACAUUGUGUUGCAAUGGUGAAUAACGGUAGUCUGUAAAAGUACACUUCGAGUGGACACAGGGACAUCACAACAUAGAGAAGUGGAAAUUGGACAGACUUUCUUGUUGUUCGUUUUUGCAUCAUGCUGAUAGAAAUGGAAGCAAAUAAAACAUAUCCAGAGAGCCAUUCUUUUUGGAGUGAAUAGUACAGGCAGUGUAUGUGAUGGUGUUUAGGUAUAUCAUAACAGUGUUCUUCCCUUCAUGGCUACAGUACAUAUCUACACGUACUUGAUAAUGCACCAUGUAACAAGCACUACACUGAAUGUUUCCAGGAAUAUGACAGCGAGUUUUCAUUCCUUCAUUGGCUUGUACUGUUCAUCACAUUUCAUACAGUAAAUCAAAAUGAUGCAGCUUUAUUUAGAAAAGGAAAUUAAAGGAGUCAUUGUGACCUGAAUGGCAUACACAUGGAAUGAAUGUGUAAAAAAUAAAUAAAUAAAUAAUAAAAAAAAAAUUCCUGAUUCUGGUGUUGUGCUUGUUUUAUUCCAUACCUUGCUCAGCCCCAUGAGACAUUUAAAGCACAAGCUGAGCAAACCUUUCCUUUGAAUCCAAGCGCACUUUCUGCUCAGUGGGACACACUACCUCAAGUGUGGGCCACAGCUGUGAAGCUCAUCAUGAACUGCAGAUUGGUAAUGUUUUACUGUAAUUCACCUCAUGAUAAUGAAGCUGCCCACAUGUGAGGGGAGAGACCAACGGCCACCAUCUGGGAGUGUGUUCCACAGGGAUGAAGCAGAGAACAGCUGGACAGGGCCCCUGAUUUAUUUCACCUCAUUCUACUUAGAAUUGCCUCUGCCCGUGUUUUCUCAACCAACCAUUGAGUGGUACGAGAGCUAGUGUGUUCACACACACACACACACAAGCCAUUGCACCUUUGUCACACAUUUAACUACUUUCACUCACAGAUGUUGC